GGAUCGUUAGUUCAAUUGGCAGAACAUUCGUCUUUUAAGCGAAGUAUUCCGAGUUCGAGUCUCGGACGAUCCA
RNAcentral lists this transfer RNA (73 nucleotides) under Trentepohlia odorata. RNAcentral describes it as "tRNA-Lys". It matches the Rfam family "tRNA". From Rfam's summary of the family: Transfer RNA (tRNA) molecules are approximately 80 nucleotides in length. Their secondary structure includes four short double-helical elements and three loops (D, anti-codon, and T loops). Lineage: Eukaryota; Viridiplantae; Chlorophyta; Ulvophyceae; Trentepohliales; Trentepohliaceae. The record is from RNAcentral.